GCCCAGCUUGCUGGGCGGAUUAGUGGCGAACGGGUGAGUAAUACGUGAGUAACCUGCCCUUGACUCUGGGAUAAGCCUGGGAAACUGGGUCUAAUACUGGAUACUACCUCUUACCGCAUGGUGGGUGGUGGAAAGGGUUUUACUGGUUUUGGAUGGGCUCACGGCCUAUCAGCUUGUUGGUGGGGUAAUGGCUCACCAAGGCGACGACGGGUAGCCGGCCUGAGAGGGUGACCGGCCACACUGGGACUGAGACACGGCCCAGACUCCUACGGGAGGCAGCAGUGGGGAAUAUUGCACAAUGGGCGGAAGCCUGAUGCAGCGACGCCGCGUGAGGGAUGACGGCCUUCGGGUUGUAAACCUCUUUCAGUAGGGAAGAAGCGAGAGUGACGGUACCUGCAGAAGAAGCGCCGGCUAACUACGUGCCAGCAGCCGCGGUAAUACGUAGGGCGCAAGCGUUGUCCGGAAUUAUUGGGCGUAAAGAGCUCGUAGGCGGUUUGUCGCGUCUGCUGUGAAAGCCCGGGGCUCAACCCCGGGUCUGCAGUGGGUACGGGCAGACUAGAGUGCAGUAGGGGAGACUGGAAUUCCUGGUGUAGCGGUGAAAUGCGCAGAUAUCAGGAGGAACACCGAUGGCGAAGGCAGGUCUCUGGGCUGUUACUGACGCUGAGGAGCGAAAGCAUGGGGAGCGAACAGGAUUAGAUACCCUGGUAGUCCAUGCCGUAAACGUUGGGCACUAGGUGUGGGGGACAUUCCACGUUUUCCGCGCCGUAGCUAACGCAUUAAGUGCCCCGCCUGGGGGAGUACGGCCGCAAGGCUAAAACUCAAAGGAAUUGACGGGGGCCCGCACAAGCGGCGGAGCAUGCGGAUUAAUUCGAUGCAACGCGAAGAACCUUACCAAGGCUUGACAUUCACCGGACCGCCCCAGAGAUGGGGUUUCCCUUCGGGGCUGGUGGACAGGUGGUGCAUGGUUGUCGUCAGCUCGUGUCGUGAGAUGUUGGGUUAAGUCCCGCAACGAGCGCAACCCUCGUUCUAUGUUGCCAGCACGUGAUGGUGGGGACUCAUAGGAGACUGCCGGGGUCAACUCGGAGGAAGGUGGGGAUGACGUCAAAUCAUCAUGCCCCUUAUGUCUUGGGCUUCACGCAUGCUACAAUGGCCGGUACAAAGGGUUGCGAUACUGUGAGGUGGAGCUAAUCCCAAAAAGCCGGUCUCAGUUCGGAUUGAGGUCUGCAACUCGACCUCAUGAAGUCGGAGUCGCUAGUAAUCGCAGAUCAGCAACGCUGCGGUGAAUACGUUCCCGGGCCUUGUACACACCGCCCGUCAAGUCACGAAAGUUGGUAACACCCGAAGCCGGUGGCCUAACCCCUUGUG
RNAcentral lists this ribosomal RNA (1365 nucleotides) under Kocuria rosea. RNAcentral's name for it is "bacterial SSU rRNA". It matches the Rfam family "Bacterial small subunit ribosomal RNA", at positions 73 to 1445 of the family's 1533-position model. RNAcentral also lists the same sequence under 1 other name. The record is from RNAcentral. Lineage: Bacteria; Bacillati; Actinomycetota; Actinomycetes; Micrococcales; Micrococcaceae.